AAUUUUCCGCAAUGAGCGCAAGCCUGACUGAGUGACACUAAAUGCGAGAAGAUGUCGAAAUGUUUUAAAACCAUUUUUUCAUAGAUUAAUAUGCCUAAGUGUUAAUGCUUGGGUGAUGACGUUAUAUGAGGAAUAAGCACCGGCCGAUUACGUGGCAGCAGCGGCGGAGACACUUAAGAUCGGAAUUUGUUCGGAAUAAUUAGGCGGAAAGGGGUGUUAGGAGGCGUACCAAGUCGUUCGUGAAAGUCCAGGGUUCAACCGUCAUAUACGAGGGAAAAUGGCAAUCUGGAAUCUUGGGGGGGAUUCGGAUUUCUUAGGGUAGAACCAAAUAUGUAAAUAUGAGAAGAGCUCCGGAGGGGAAGUUGAUUACCCAUUAAUAGAGUUGAGCGACUAAAGGGUGGUGAACGAACAGGAUUAGAUACACUAGUAGUCCCCGCCCUC
This 441-nucleotide ribosomal RNA is filed under the name uncultured marine bacterium. RNAcentral describes it as "bacterial SSU rRNA". It matches the Rfam family "Bacterial small subunit ribosomal RNA", at positions 360 to 804 of the family's 1533-position model. The record is from RNAcentral.